Molecule: long non-coding RNA, 939 nt
Organism: Chelonia mydas (Green sea turtle)
Lineage: Eukaryota; Metazoa; Chordata; Testudines; Cheloniidae
Exons: 3
Source: RefSeq, a predicted model, not a curated record
UUGGGGGGUGGAGGGGAAGGAGAGCAUUAAUGGAUGUGUUAUUAAUAUGUAAGAAUAUUCUAACCUAUACAGUAAGCGUAGAUUCAUGGACUUUAAGGUCAGAAGGGACCAUUAUGAUCAUCUAGUCCGACCUCCUGCACAACGCAGGACACAGAAUCUCACCCACCCACUCCUGCGAAAAACCUCUCACCUAUGUCUGAGCUAUUGAAGUCCUCAAAUCGUGGUUUACAGACUUCAAGGAGCAGAGAAUCCUCCAGCAAGUGACCCGUGCCUCAUGCUACAGAGGAAGGUGAAAAACCUCCAGGGCCUCUUCCAAUCUGCCCUGGAGGAAAAGACUUAUCUGGAUGAGGAAAUAAGAUUUGCGCAUGGAAGUUUGGGCACCGAUAUGAAUACUCAGGAUAGUGCCAUGACCCUAUAGGAGGGCGAACCACCAUGUGGAGAGGAUUCUUUUUCCUUUUCUUUACCCUUAAGGACUCUCUUGUUUUGGCGAUCAGCUCAGCUUUUGCAAUACAGUUUAAUGACUAAACACCCGAUCCUGAUCGCCACCAUCUCAGGAGUGGAGGAACCUGGACCAUCAAACGCAUUGGGCAUGCCAGAGACCAGGCUGGUCCUGUCUCCCACUACCAGGUCCCCAAGGAAGGGCGUAAAGGGACAAGGCCUGUCAAACAUAAAGGAAGAGGAGUCUUCUUUCUCCUGUGGAAGUGUGAGGUUUUGGGAAGAACACAGGGAGGCAGAUCUCGCUCCUCCCUAAUCACUGAUGUAGAAGACAGCUGUAACGUCAUCCGACAUUAUAAGGACCUGGUGAGAAAGGCCUCGCAUGUCUUCCAGACUGCUAGCAACUCCAGGAUAUCGAUGUGCAUCCUGGACUCUCAAGACAUCCAGGUACCUUGUGCUGUGCGGCUGUUCACGUGGGUUCCACAACCGAAUAGGUAUGCUUCU